UACAGAGGGUGCAAGCGUUGUCCGGAAUCACUGGGCGUAAAGGGCGCGUAGGCGGCCUGAUAAGUCGGGGGUGAAAUUCUGCGGCUUAACCGCAGGACGGCCUUCGAGACUGUCGGGCUUGAGCACGGUAGAGGCUGGUGGAAUUCCCGGUGUAGCGGUGGAAUGCGUAGAGAUCGGGAAGAACAUCGGUGGCGAAGGCGGCAUCCUGGACCAAUAUUGACGCUGAGGAGCGAAAGCCAGGGGAGCAAACGGG
RNAcentral lists this ribosomal RNA (253 nucleotides) under uncultured bacterium. RNAcentral describes it as "partial 16S ribosomal RNA". It matches the Rfam family "Bacterial small subunit ribosomal RNA", at positions 524 to 776 of the family's 1533-position model. The record is from RNAcentral.